Molecule: long non-coding RNA, 976 nt
Organism: Betta splendens (Siamese fighting fish)
Lineage: Eukaryota; Metazoa; Chordata; Actinopteri; Anabantiformes; Osphronemidae
Exons: 6
Source: RefSeq, a predicted model, not a curated record
UCUUACCUUAGUCUUUGGCGACGCCUAGUGGACAUUUCACUUACCGCACCGUUGAGCAGGUUUUCCGUUAAAGUUAGAAACUGCCGUCCUCUUAUUACUUCCUUUCCGUGUGACGCAUUGGAGAAGCUAUUGCUUUUGAGGAAUAUGGUGGGCACAUCAUCGGUAGCCUCAGACCGAGUUCGACAGAUGUUGCCGUUACCAUGACAACAAGAAAGCCAUUUACCUGACCUUUAAUGCUAACUAACGCCUGUUGGACCAGGGGCACUUCAAGAAAAAGACAAAAGACACGAAAGUUGAGAAAUGUGAAGCUGAUGUAUAGCACAGAUACACAGGAACCACAAGUGCGUUGCAUGGAAUAGGAAGAUUAGCUGCCAGGCCUCCCUAUCAACCAUAACCAGGAACCUGUUGACAUGGAUACACACUCCCACAUGGCAUUAGCCAAUCGCAGCCCUCGAGGGCACAUCCAGGCAUGAAUUUUAUCAGGUCUCCAACAUACUGUCACACUGUGCCACAACAGCAGCACCGAGGAAACAGCUCUCGUGGGAUCAAGGGGAGCAUCAUGAACUGACGUGCAGUUCCUCCUGGGCAUGAACACAUCAGGGACAUACAGGCUUCAGGUACUGUAGGUAAACAAUUUCUGUUUAAUUUGCACUUAAGGCAGCUGGAGAGGGUCAAACUACCCUCCCAGGAAUUCCUCUAAUGCAGCUUAAACAGGUGAAGGCAGCCAUAUGCUCCUCUUCACUGUCAGAUCUUGACAUACAGUACAAUCCUGGGAGAACGUUGUUAGCAGGUGAGGGAAUGCACAACACAAUGAUCAGCUUGACUGCACCGUUAGCAUAUGGACCUGCUCUAAAGGAACAGUGUUUAUGACCCUAAUAUUCUGAAUACUACCAGAUGAAUGCAUGUGAUGCGUUAAACAGCCUUAUACACCAGCCAAUCAGAAAAACGCAGACCUGCACAUGAACAGGAGGCUGGA